AAGGAUCAUUACUGAACUGUCGACACGAGUUGUUGCUGGUCCUCGAAAGGGGUCAAGUGCACGCUCUGUUUACACAUCCACUCACACCUGUGCACCCUCUGUAGUUCUAUGGCCUGGGGGCUCUGCCCUCUGCUGUGGUCCUACGUCUUUACACACACACUGUAAUAGUCUCAUGGAAUGUACCCGCGUUUAACGCAGUAUAAUACAACUUUCAGCAACGGAUCUCUUGGCUCUC
Molecule: unclassified non-coding RNA, 235 nt
Filed under: uncultured fungus
Lineage: Eukaryota; Fungi
Description: partial contains 18S rRNA, ITS1, 5.8S rRNA, ITS2 and 28S rRNA
Source: RNAcentral